AGUAAUGCGUAGGAAUUUGCCUUGGAGUGGGGGAUAGCCCGAAGAAAUUCGGAUUAAUACCGCAUGAUCUCUAAGGAGCAAAGUGGGCCUCUGAUUUAAGCUCACGCUCUGAGAUGAGCCUACGUCGGAUUAGCUUGUUGGUAGGGUAAAGGCCUACCAAGGCGACGAUCCGUAGCUGGUCUGAGAGGAUGAUCAGCCACACUGGAACUGAGACACGGUCCAG
Molecule: ribosomal RNA, 223 nt
Filed under: uncultured bacterium
Lineage: Bacteria
Description: partial 16S ribosomal RNA
Rfam family: Bacterial small subunit ribosomal RNA
Source: RNAcentral